GGAUUGUGGCUCAGCGGUAGAGCGCUCGCUUAGCAUGGGUGGGACCUGGGUUCAAUCCUCAGCACCA
Molecule: transfer RNA, 67 nt
Filed under: Marmota monax (woodchuck)
Lineage: Eukaryota; Metazoa; Chordata; Mammalia; Rodentia; Sciuridae
Description: tRNA.Ala
Source: RNAcentral